CUCAGGAUGAACGCUAGCUACAGGCUUAACACAUGCAAGUCGAGGGGAAACGAUAUUGGAAGCUUGCUUCCGAUAGGCGUCGACCGGCGCACGGGUGAGUAACGCGUAUCCAACCUGCCCAUCACUUGGGGAUAACCUUGCGAAAGUAAGACUAAUACCCAAUGACGUCUCUAGAAGACAUCUGAAAGAGAUUAAAGAUUUAUCGGUGAUGGAUGGGGAUGCGUCUGAUUAGCUUGUUGGCGGGGUAACGGCCCACCAAGGCGACGAUCAGUAGGGGUUCUGAGAGGAAGGUCCCCCACAUUGGAACUGAGACACGGUCCAAACUCCUACGGGAGGCAGCAGUGAGGAAUAUUGGUCAAUGGACGAGAGUCUGAACCAGCCAAGUAGCGUGCAGGAAGACGGCCCUAUGGGUUGUAAACUGCUUUUAUAAGGGAAUAAAGUGAGUCUCGUGAGACUUUUUGCAUGUACCUUAUGAAUAAGGACCGGCUAAUUCCGUG
Molecule: ribosomal RNA, 497 nt
Filed under: uncultured bacterium
Lineage: Bacteria
Description: bacterial SSU rRNA
Rfam family: Bacterial small subunit ribosomal RNA
Source: RNAcentral